This 1147-nucleotide long non-coding RNA is filed under the name Equus caballus (horse). RNAcentral's name for it is "lncRNA (ENSECAG00000059721.1)". Lineage: Eukaryota; Metazoa; Chordata; Mammalia; Perissodactyla; Equidae. The record is from RNAcentral.
AAUUAAGUUAAAGAUCUUGAGAUGCAGACAUUCUCUGGAUUAUCCAGGUGGGCUUGAUGUAAUCACAGGGUCUUUAUAAGAGGAAAGCAGGAGAAUCAAGAGAUGUAGAGUAGAAGAUGUGAUUACGGAAGCAGAGUUGCAGUGAUGCCGGAAAGGACCGUGAUUCAGAUGACCUCUGGAAGAAGGAAGAGGUUGAUAGGUCUCAUUCGCGUAAACAUUCAGGCAAUUCAACCUUGGAUUUCCUGCCAGGGCUGACUCUCCCCUGCUUCCCCAGCCUCUCUCAAUGCUGAUUUUGGUGGUGAUGGAGCCUGUCCCAUUGACUUUGGGAGGAUGUCAGUAUCUGCCACUGACCUUGAAUCAGAGCCGUCACUAGCUUACAUGGAGUAUUUGUCAGGAUCAGAGAGAAAUCCCUCCUGCAGGUAGACACAGCUGUACACGAGAUGGCAUGACUCUCCAGGCAGAACGUGGGAUGCACACCCCUUCCGUGGGCUCUUCGGCACAGGGCCAACCUGCACAACCAUUCAUGGAGGUCCUGCUACGAGCAUUGCCGCUCAUAAAAAGCUUCCCUCUUCUGCUCUCUCUGCAGCUCAGAGCCAGGUGUUUGUUGACCCACCAAGUCCUCCCUGAUGUCUCUCCACCUCAGAUGGGCAUGCAGUGCGUCUAGAUCCCUUUUAUAUCAGAGACCAUGGGGAGCCAGUAUUGUGGUCUCCAAUCUUGAUCUUAUCUCUCCAGAUACCUGUGAGCUAGAUCCUGGGACAGAGGCUACUUUCUGAGGGACACUAUGCACCAUGAAUGCAAGGACUACCCUAUCACCAGAGCAAGAGCUUAAGGCCUGAUCGAGCACACCCCAAUUUCCCUAUAUGCUAGUAGGCCCAGCACCUUUACAUUACUUCUAUCUGUAGUCUAGUCAAAGUGCUCUUAAAUUAAAGCACUUAAUUAAUUCCACCAAAAUAAAGAAGUAAAAGUUUGAAAUUAAUUCAUGCUCAAGUAGAUCUUGAUUUAAGCUUGUGUCUUGCAGUAGCCUGGUUCUGAGUAGACAGAUGGAACAGAGUAGCUUAUCACAUCUCCACAUCUUCCUGAUUUAUGUCAUAUUAUAUAACUUUGCUAUAUUGUUUGGGAAUAAUAAAGAGUUGACUGAACUAUGACU